Erpetoichthys calabaricus (reedfish) is the source of this 1069-nucleotide long non-coding RNA. RefSeq lists it as uncharacterized. The record is from RefSeq and is a predicted model, not a curated record. The transcript is spliced from 4 exons. NCBI's taxonomy places the organism in Eukaryota, Metazoa, Chordata, Cladistia, Polypteriformes, Polypteridae.
CUUCGUUCACUCGCGGAAGUUGCUUGCGGCGCACGGUGGGUGUGUCUCAGUGGGCCGCUUGGAUCAGUGAGUACCAGUAUGUUUUCAGAUCUUAAUGGGAGACACCGACGGGCUUCUGGAUUCACAAGAAUAGACUGCAGUAAAGCUUUUAGGAGUGAAAUUUUGGAGAACAGCCUGGUCAAGUGACUUGCUCAGGGUCACCCAGUUUAAGAGAAUCGCCUCACUGAAGCAUCUGGUCCUUCUGAGUUUGUGAUGUUAGUCCUGUGCUGCCCCAAGGAAUACAAGAAUGACAGGCCAGGCGAGAAAACCAACCACAGUCAAAGCACUAAAACCCAACAAGGACACCAGAGACUAAGUCAAAGGCAGCUGCACAAAAUCCUGACUACCAGAACGUCUUCCUCAGCAGGCUGCACCUCCACGUACUUGGAUACCGUUGGUAGUGCAUCGCCAUCUCUUAUACCCAUCGCCACUUUCAGUUGUCUUGUGGUAGAAACGGGUACCACUGCUAUAAAGAGAAAUGACCAUGGUCAGCUCAAAAUGACUACUACUAAAAGGUGGCAAUUCAAUCAAAUGAAAGAGUGAAGCUAAAAAUCUACAACACUUCUAUAGGACCAGAAAAUCAAAACUAAGGACAUAUAGAAAUCCCAACUGUCAUCCCAUGUGUGUCACGUGGAGUGGAGGCAGACCAGAGGCUGCUGUCCCGUGGGCCCCUUGCUGUUUUCAAAGACCUUCCAUCUCCUUACCCAGGGCAGUGGGGGGUUGGUUUUCGCCUACACCCAAAUUUGUUUAAAUCAAAUUGCUUUUUUUUUUUUCUUUUCUUUUUAUGCCAUUUGGGUUAGAAAAUUGUCUGGUUUAAAAAAAAAAAAAGUUUACACCAGGUAUGCCUCUGAAAUGAUUUUAUAAGCAGCACACCCGGCAGAUGUCAGACUGCUGACCUUGAUAAAGCUUAGCUGAUGUUUGGAAUUGGGAUAAAACUGAAAUAAUAAACAUAUACAGUAUAUACUCGUUUGUUGUGACGCCCAUGAUGUCUGAGGUGGAGCAAAACACAACAAGAGAAGCAGAGAGCUGA